Small nuclear RNA from Suncus etruscus (white-toothed pygmy shrew), 158 nucleotides. RefSeq annotates it as U1 spliceosomal RNA. The record is from RefSeq and is a predicted model, not a curated record. NCBI's taxonomy places the organism in Eukaryota, Metazoa, Chordata, Mammalia, Eulipotyphla, Soricidae. The transcript has a single exon.
AUACUUACCUGGCAUGGGCGAUACCAUGAUCACAAAGGUGAUUUCCCCAGGCUCACCCAUUGCACUCCGGGUGUGCUGACCUCUGCAACUUCCCCAAAUGUGGGAAACUCGACUGCAUAAUUUAUGGUAGUGGGGGACUGUGUUCGCGCUCUCCCCUG